Long non-coding RNA from Condylura cristata (star-nosed mole), 6224 nucleotides. RefSeq lists it as uncharacterized. The record is from RefSeq and is a predicted model, not a curated record. Lineage: Eukaryota; Metazoa; Chordata; Mammalia; Eulipotyphla; Talpidae. The transcript has 11 exons.
GAGACACCAGGUUCUGGAGAGGCAGUGGCAGAGGGAACUCUGAAUCUGGCCCCUGGCCUCGGAGCCCCAGCACCUUGGACUCGGGCUGUCUGUGCCGAGACCUUGUCUGUAGAGGCUGACCUGGCGAGCUUAAGGGAAUCUUUCCAUCUGAAAAUUGCUUCAGCAUAUAGUUCACCUGGACAUGGAAAGAAGCAGGACCAUGGGUCCUUUGCUUCACUAGAGAAAUGACCUGGUUAUUUUGAGGUCAUACCAUGGCUGUAGGGGCGGAAGGAAACUCAUCAGCCCAGGAGAAACUCCCAGCAUCCUCUAAAGGAAACCCUCGGAGGUCAGGAAGACGUCAAGGGGAGGUGGAGACUGGGGCAAAGUGGUGAGCAUAUAUCCUAUCUGAGGGGAAGCUGCUGUUCUGCUCUGAUUUCUGCCAAGGAGGAAUACAGAGUCAAGAAAAGAUGCCCGGGCUGGGGCUAAAUGAGAGGGUGGAUUGAGAGGCAUGAGAAGGAAAGAAAGGCACUCAACUCUAAAAUCAUCUCAAGAUCCUAAAUAUGAAAAUGCCUGUUCAUUUCACAGAAACACUUGCCGGCAAAAUCGCUGGCGUCUGACUUCCCCAGAAAUCCAUUGUACGUAUUUUGCUGUAGCUUGGAUCCCACAUGGCGGCCUCUUGUCUAGGUGUGUGACCUUGGCCGAGUCAUCUAGAUCCCCGGCGCUGCCAUAUGCUCAUCAGUAAGAGGGAGAGAGUAAGCGUCCUGCCUCAGCAGGGCUGUUUGAGGGUGAAGACGUUAGUACAUUUUUUCCAUUUAAGUUAAAGCCUGCAGAAAGCACAGAAAGACAUUUUCCUGUGAGGAUGCCGCUCAAGAAUGCCUGUCAACCCUAAGGUCAUGAAUUAGAGCUGUGAGGUGUGAUGUUGCCCCAAAGAACAUGGAGAUUCCAGGACAAGGAAACCACAUAACAGAGCGUCUCUGGUCAGUCAGUCAGAAGCCAGAAGGCUAGAGAGCUCUUUGUCACCGCGCAGCGGGAAUUGCAGCGUCGAGAAGGCUUGCAUCUGCGCUCCGUGGCUUCAAGCUUCUGGAUUGUCCACUGGAGGAAACAAAGGCAUGAAGCAUCUAUUUUCUGCAAUCGGCAGAGAACAAGACCGACCAGGCCCCAGCCCCGUGGGGGUUACGUGAGAGCAGGGACAGUACACCACUGCGUACACAGAAGGGAAUCGUGGCUGAUAAGAAGGCAGAGGCCGCAGGGAAGGCAGCCCUUGGAGGACAGGCACUGGCCGACGGGCACUGGGCGUUGGGCCCUCCGCCCCUGCCCGUUGCCCGUUUUGGGCUGCCGUUGCAGGGGAUGUGUGCAAACUGUCUACUAACAGUAUUCGUUUUCCUGUAGGCCUGGAAGAGCCAGCUCAGAACUGAAUUGGAGCUGAAGAUGACUGAGCGGAUUAAAGUUCGGGAUGGAGCCCACUACAUCCACAUUGCAAGAAGCAGAAUGGAGGGAACAAACUUGCAUUCAAGUCCUUUGAAUAGCAGGCGAGCACUGUAAUAUGGAAGAUAAACAUGCAAAACGGAACCGUCAAGAAAUACCUUCUAGAGCCCACACAUCCGCAUGGAGCUUCCGCUCCCUCCAUCUUAACCCUCCUCUCUCUCCCAGCCACCACCGCCAUGUUGCAGGGCUGGUCUGAUGGCCAUAGAUGGGAGCUUCCUGAUCCUUUCUCUCUGGCAUUUGGAGCCCCCCUCUUCCAUGCUGACUCCCCAUGGGCAAGGGGAAUCUCCAGCUCCUUCAGAGGAAAGCUUCCUCCCGUAUGGGGAAGCUGGCAAGAGAGCGGUAAGCACACCCCCCAAGUCUGGGAGCCUCUGCUCAGUCACUCCAAUGUUGGGGGGGCUUCCUACUCCACAGUGCCCCCCAAGCUUGGAGGGGGAUAAUGGGGGUAGGGGGAGACAGCCAGCACUUCCCUCUCUGGAGCCAGUCCCAUGAGGAAGACCAUUUCUUACCUCCCAGGAUCAAAGCUACUGGAGCAACUGCUUGAUCAGAAAGACACAUCUCUGCCAGGGAGCCAGGAAUACUUCUAGCGAAAUGCUAAGUUUAGAAAUGAACUCCUUUUCCCUCAAAGGCUUCAGUCUGGCUACCCACCCACUCAAUUUGGAGACCUUCCCACCAGGCUACUGUGUGAUCCUGGACAAGUUACAUAGCCACUCUGGGCCUGUUCCCACACCCCUGGAAUGAGGUUACUGACAGACCCUCAGCGGAGCCCUUGGGAAGCUCUCCAGAGGGAGGGCUGUCAAGUGCUGGCUUAGCACGGCCCACGGCUGACGCCCCACCCCACCGUGUAGCUUUUGUAAUUACUGGUACUAAGCAACAGUAAACAACUCAAGGUGAGGAACCUGUCUCUGGAAAUGCCACCCUUUUAGGACUUCCUCCAAGAGCAGAGGGCUCCUUCCAGAAUAAAGGGGAAGACUAUUUGCACCUUCAAAGGCAGAAAGAGCAUCUCACCCUCUUCAAGACUCUGAAAAUCUGAACCUUACCUCAGGAGUGGCUAUAUACUUUGCUAGCAGGCCCCCUUGUUCUAAAAUUAUUAAGCCCGUGAAGACUACAAGGCCGGGUUAGGAAACAGUGGGGGGCGGCUGACUGCACAGGCCACACGCCCACGACGCUGGCCUUGCCUGCCUCCAGCUGCAGAACGAGGAGUCGGAUGGAAACCAGCAGGUUGCAACAGAGACCGUGAAAACACCUGCAGACACACGGUAGUCAGCUUUUUCACUCGGCAGCCCACACAGUCGUAGUAUUACCAAGUCCUUGCUGUGAACAGAGACAGCGUCUCAUCAACCCAACCCACCCUUGCCUUGUGGAGAAGAUGGAAAACCAAGAAUCAGAGCUGGUAGGGGACCAGCCCGUAUCAGUCACCUGCCAGCACCUGUGCCCACUCGCGCCAGGAGUGUUCCCCAUGACUGUCCUCUAAAUUGGACGGAGGGUAGGUGCAGUGGCUUCUGGAAAUGCUCCCAGACGCCUCCUUUGUGCAAAGCAAGGGGUCACAAGUCUAGUUUCCAUCCUUGGGCCUGACUUCCCCCCUCGUACCUUGCCCUGCCCCCUGCCCCUCAUUUCUCAGAACCCACGUGAUUCCCCUAGUUCCCUGAGGACAUUUCCCCUCUGCCCCCACCGCCACCCCGCCCCAGGGCUGUCACUCGCCCAGGACAGGACUAUAUUUACAUCUUUAUUUGUUUUGCUUUUAAUGACCUGGGGUAGAAUCGAAACUCUUUUCUGGUGGUGAAAGAUGGGGGGUCUUCACCCUUCCCGUCAGCUGAGCCAGAACAGAACUCACACAUCCGGCUGAGCGCAGCAGCUAGGCACAACUGGCUUCUAACCGUGGCUCCCCCAGGCCUUAGCCUGGCCUUUCUGUGCCUCCCUUCAAAUGGGGAUAAUCACAGUGUAGUCUUUGCAAGGCUGGUGUGAGCCAUCAUCAUUAUUAUCUCCUCAUCACUGUGAUAUGUUGAGAACUCGUGGGAGUUCUUGGAGAGUGUCACGGCUGAAUGCAGAGAUGCUGAAACCAGGUUGCCUAUUUCUAAACCCGCCGCAGCACUAAUAGCUGUGUGACUUUGGUUAAGGGGUUGACCUCUCUGGGCCUCGUUUCCACAUUUUCCAUGGACAGCGAGACUGAGUUAGCGAUGGUCUGGAGACUCCAUCGGACCGAUGAGAUUUAAGGCCAGGACUGGGCUGGGACCAUCAGGGAAAAGAAAUAUUCCCUCCAUUGUGUGGCUGAGCUAGCAAGAUCUGAACCUGGAAUUGCGGGGUCAUCUUGCUGACCCCCGGAGGAAAGCCUGCCUGAAAGUGAAGAUUACCCAGAGGGAAGCAGAUAGGAGAACUGAGGAGAGGAGAGCCAUGGUGACAUCGUCUGAGCCCCUGGAUGUGUCCAUGCCUGCACCAAGCCACCUUUGGACUUCCCAGUUUCGGGAGCCAGCAAAAUCCCCCUUUGUGAAGGCCACUUUCAGUUGGGUUUUUCUCGUUGGAAAACAUGAAGGAGGUUAAGCAACUUGCCUGCGCGGCCUGAGUGCUGUAAGCAGCCGACUCAGAAUUUGGAAGCUGCUCGUUCCCUGUGGCCACUGUGCUGUUCUCUAGGUGGGCAUUCGAGGGUGGCCAUCGAUUCACCCCUUUCCCUGCUUUGAGCAGCCAUUUUUCAUCUGCAAGAUGGGCUAACUCCAGGCUGCCGGGCCGUUGGGAAACAAAUGCGAGCAACACUGUGGUCUGGUGUUGACUGUGCUGGAAGCGGAGGCUCUGCACAGCCAGGACUGUGACCCUGUUGGUGACUCCAGCUCAGGGUUAUCUUUGGCUGACCCCACGUCAGUCAGCCGUCAAGGCGCCCACACUCUGUCGGAGAGCGUGUGUGACUCUGAGGGGUGGUCUCUUCCUGACUGUGUCCUCAGUGGUGGCAGAGCGUGACCCUGAGGACCCUCAAACUCGGAAUCUAUGAGAUGGAAGGAGGCCUUGUUGCCUUGUUUUCUGGAACCUUCUGAGGACUCACAGGCUCAUUUAGCAAUAACCUGUCAGUCAAGGAAGACAGCAUUGAACCAAAUUGACUCGGUGUCUUUUUUUCAUGAAAUUUACAUUAAUGGUGGAGAUGGAAGAUAAACAUAAAUCAGACACAUAACACAAUACCACGCAGCAACACUAGGGAGAGGAUGUGUCCGCCGAUGGCUGGGGAGGAGAGCUGGAAGGGUGACAGGCAGACAGCAGGGGUCAGGGGGCAUCUCUGAGCUAGUGAAUUUCAUCAGACAUCCAGUUUGGCCUCACUCUGGAUCCCAAAUUCUUACGCUGCAUUCUCUCCCAGGAAUAAAACCAGGACUAAUUUUACCAGGAAACUUGCUGACAAGGUUAAGAGUCAAUGAUCCAUUGCAGAUGUGGUAAACAGCCAUUCUUCCCCACUGACAACUCUUUAGGACAUUUUAGAAAGUUAAAUGGGUCAUUGAUUUCCUCCAUUAGCUAAAUCCAAGAAGGAAAGGCCCAAGAAACUGUGUGAGGCCAUUCCCCAGGCAGGGCUGCCGGGAAAAGGUUUUAGCAAUCAUAACAUAGGGCCAUUUGCUUAUUUUAUAACUAGUCAUCACUCCAAAGAUUCCCCCAUCACCAGCAUCAUGUCUCUGGGGGACACCAGAGCCUGGCUGGUUCUAGGCCAGCCCUCAGCAGAACUGGUGGAGUUUUACAAAUGAACAAAAGCUGUGUUUUGCAAGCCACAAGCGGCUUGAACAUCUCUGGUCCCUCCUCCCCAAACAAAUGUCAGAUGCUUGGGACACAGACAGGAAGUUGAGGUCCCCACCCCAUGGAACACCACAGUGAGGAACAGAGGAAGCAAGUCAACUGCUACCGAGCAGGGGAACUUUGCACAGAGAUGAGUGUCUUGAUACACAAAGCCAGGUUUGUGGUCGAGAGGAAAUGGGGCGAUGUUAGGUGAUCAGAGAAGUCGAGUCUGCAGAGAUGACAUUAGACCGGAGACCUGAAGGAUGAGAUCUACAAGAAGAAUGGUUCAGCCAGAAAGUCCCGCUGGUGCAAAAGUCCUGAGGUAGACUGGCCUGGCGCAGAGUCAGAGGAGAUGGUUGCGAGGUGGGAGCGGCCAGAGUUGGGAAUUACUUGGCUUUCAUUCUAGGAAGGUUAGAUUUUACAGAGGAGCUUCAUGAUUCAAAUAUUAAAAACUCGCUCUGACUACUGGUAAGAAGAGAUGGAAAGGCCAUUAGCUGAUACUUCAAGUGAAGGGUUUCAUCAGGAUCAAAAUUUUGUGACACUAUUUCACACUCUGACACUGUUGUAGGUUGACUGGGGGACCCCAAAGAGCUAAAUUCUUGGAUUACUCAAAAUGAACUGUUCUUGGAUUACUUGGGAUUGCCGAUCACCCCAGAAUGGGGUGGGCCCUAAAACCAGUAAUAAUUGUCCUUGUUUGAGAGCACUGGGGGGAAAUCAGACCCAUGGAGAAGAGGAAACAGAGGAGACGACUAUGGAAAGAAGGAGGCAGAGACUGGAGAUGUGUUCCCACAAGCCAAGAGGCGUCUGACACCUUGGCAGCUGGGAGAAGCAAGAAAGGAUUUUCUAUGAGGGCCUGAAGAAGGUGUAAGGCCCUGUCAGCACCUUGAUGUUGGAUUUCUGUCAUCCAGACUGUUCAGAGAUAAAUUACCAUUGUUCUAAGCGACCAGAUUUGCGGUAAUUUAUUAUGGCAGCCCUAGGAAACUAACACAGCCAUACAACAUCCUGGGCUGCUUUAGCCCCCC